AGCGUUUGACUGCAACAGCACGCUCAUCUCGUAGUUUUCCGUAGUAUACUGUGCCAAAACGCCUAUCUCCAAGUUCCUUAGCAGAAUCAAAAUUGUUAGUAGCCUCUUCAAGUUCCGCAUAAGUGAAAAGAAAGACCCCAAAGUAGAGUCCUCCUUUCUCAGUAUCUGAAUUUGAAGAGAAGUAUGAUGUGGUGCUUUGAGAGACAAAGGAAGAUGGAGCAUAUGGUUUUCUC
RNAcentral lists this unclassified non-coding RNA (233 nucleotides) under Hevea brasiliensis (rubber tree). The record is from RNAcentral. Lineage: Eukaryota; Viridiplantae; Streptophyta; Magnoliopsida; Malpighiales; Euphorbiaceae.